UACGAAGGGGGCUAGCGUUGUUCGGAAUUACUGGGCGUAAAGGGCGCGUAGGCGGUCUGAUAAGUUAGAUGUGAAAUUCCCGGGCUUAACCUGGGGGUUGCAUUUGAUACUGUCAGGCUUGAAUCCAGGAGAGGAUAGUGGAAUUCCCAGUGUAGAGGUGAAAUUCGUAGAUAUUGGGAAGAACACCAGUGGCGAAGGCGGCUAUCUGGACUGGUAUUGACGCUGAGGCGCGAAAGCGUGGGGAGCAAACGGG
This 253-nucleotide ribosomal RNA is filed under the name uncultured bacterium. Its description in RNAcentral is "partial 16S ribosomal RNA". It matches the Rfam family "Bacterial small subunit ribosomal RNA", at positions 524 to 776 of the family's 1533-position model. The record is from RNAcentral.